This 510-nucleotide ribosomal RNA is filed under the name uncultured bacterium. Its description in RNAcentral is "partial 16S ribosomal RNA". It matches the Rfam family "Bacterial small subunit ribosomal RNA", at positions 28 to 507 of the family's 1533-position model. The record is from RNAcentral.
GACGAACGCUGGCGGCGUGCUUAACACAUGCCAGUCGAACGAAGAGCGACGGAAGCUUGCUUCUAUCAAUCUUAGUGGCGAACGGGUGAGUAACGCGUAAUCAACCUGCCCUUCAGAGGGGGACAACAGUUGGAAACGACUGCUAAUACCGCAUACGAUCUAACCUCGGCAUCGAGGAUAGAUGAAAGGUGGCCUCUACAUGUAAGCUAUCACUGUAGGAGGGGAUUGCGUCUGAUUAGCUAGUUGGAGGGGUAACGGCCCACCAAGGCGAUGAUCAGUAGCCGGUCUGAGAGGAUGAACGGCCACAUUGGGCCUGAGACACGGCCCAGACUCCUACGGGAGGCAGCAGUAGGGAAUCUUCCGCAAUGGACGAAAGUCUGACGGUGCAACGCCGCGUGAGUGAUGACGGCCUUCGGGUUGUAAAGCUCUGUUAAUCGGGACGAAAGGCCUUCUUGCGAAUAGUGAGAAGGAUUGACGGUACCGGAAUAGAAAGCCACGGCUAACUACGUG